CCCCUACAGUGAUCCCGUGGACAAGAACCUGGUUGGGAGUGGGGUGAAGGUUCCCUCUGGGCAAAGGGGAGCUGAAAUCCCUCAGUGUCCUGGCAUUUAAACAAUGAAAGCUUCAAACCCUGCACGGGUGUGGGCUGAGGUGCAUCAGCAGAAGGUUGGGCUGGACAGAGGUGGCAGGUUUGUAUAAUUUUUGGUGGUUCCCAGAAUGGGACCAAGUCCUGUCCCACCCCACGUCUGUGUCAGGCUCUGGGAGGGAGUUUGGGUGUGGGAGGGAGAGGGGUUGCGCUCUGGGAAAGACUUUGUGUGCAGGGUCUGGGCGUAGUCAGAGGGUUGGGGUGCAGGAGUGGGUGUGGUGGGCAGGGUCGUGGAGGGAGUUUGGGUGCGGAUAUGGGGUUUGACUUGGAGCAGGGUGUGAGAGGUGCAGGAGAGGGUGAGGGGUGCAGCAUUUACCUCGGGCAUUUCACAAAAGCAAUGCGCACCCCUCUCUGGAAGCAGCCUCUAAGCAGGAGGGCUGGGAGUGUCUCUGUGCACCGCUGCCAGAAGACUCCACCCCACAGCUCCCAUUGCCACAGUAGGCAGAGUUGGCACUCGGGGAGACCCCCCCACACCUCAGGGGCUGCUGUGACGUGCCAGCUGCUUCUGGGGGUGGCGUGCCACACGGAGCGAGGGUGAGCAGGAAACUGCCUUAGCCCCCUUGUGCUGGUGGUGGUGGUGGCAGGGAUCUCUGGGCCCUUUUAAAUUGCCCAUAGAUGGCAGGCAGGACCAGAGGGGACACUCCCAAGGCCAAACAUUGCUUUGCACAAUGAUAAAUCUUGGAAGAGGACAGAAAUGAAAUGGCAGCAGAACCUAAGGAAUGAAAAGCCUCCGAAUUCUUGUGUGUGCACUGACUCCGAACAGAAACUGUAAUUUGGCUCGCUUUGUGUCUGCGGCCGGUAAAAUAUCAAGGCAAAAUCAUUCCAGUGAUUGUGACACUGGGUUUGAGGAGGCUUUUGUCUUAUUAAAAUAUAACUAGCAUGUUAGGUCCUGUCUUGUUCAUGGAUGGGAAGAUGUUCUUUUUCAGGGAUUUCAGACGAGAACUGGGGCACAACACCUGGUUUGUUUAGGCCCCAAAAAUGGAGGCAGGAACCUCUUCUCUCCUGCUGGCCAAGAACCCCAGACAUUGAAUGACCUGAAUCAAGUGCUCUCAGAUGAGCUCCAGACCAACAACAGUGACAGUAAUUAUUCAGCAAGUAUUUGAGGAGAACUGCAAUGUUAGAGAGAAUCAUGAACUGCUCAGAGAUAAUUAAUGCCGAGAAGCAGCAAAACUCAUCAAACACAGAACUGGUUCUGACUUAUUUCCUUGGUCUUAAAAGAGAACAACAAGGAGCUGAGUCUCCUCCCUGUUAAUAAGCCCCUGCUCAGCCAAUCAGGGUAGAGACGGAGGACGGGAGGCUGAGGGUUCUCACCAGAGAACCCAAAGGGUGGCCCAGGUCACUGGUGGGGAUCACUGCCCGAGCCCUAGUUCAGCCUCACAUUUUUGGGUGGGGACCUUCCAGAGUGAGAGCUGCAGAGCACUGCCCCGCAAAACACACACACACACACACACCCUCCCUCUCCUGCUGUUGGGAGGGGAACAGGGGAAAGAAGAAAAGCAAGAGACGAAGAGAAAGGAGGGAGGGAGGGAUGGAGGAAAAGGUGACACAAAAAGGACAAAUCCUAAUGUCCCCAGUGAUUCUAAGGGACAAAAUCCCAGGUGUGGAAUAAAAUUCUGCCUCCUUAAGCUCGUGUUUUCCAUGCCUAGAAUUCAACUGUCACCAGAUGGAUCAGACUGAACAGGUUUCUUACCAUCUAAACAGGGACGUCUGUUUUCUAGUAAAAUCACUAAAAGGGAAGGAGAAAACUCGAAAGAGGUUCCUCCUGGCGCUCACGUCCAUGAACCUGAAUACUCUCUCAGUCCUCAAAGAGAGACCUGGAGAAGGAGACUUGCUGAAGCAAAGCCACAGGGGUCUCUGAGGUUUCCCUGGUCCCUCGCCCCUGUCCUGCCUGGCUGAUGUCAGCAUCUCUCUGUGAGGUCACCACCUCCCCACCACCUUGGACCAAUAGUCUGAGGUCCUGCAAAAGGCCUUUGUGAUGUCACUGCCACACCCCUCCCUUCCUGUGCCAAUGUCCUGCCCCUGGCCAGGCACUUUGGAGGUUUGAGCUACUCCCUGUGGAUCACCCCACUCAAGGAGUGUUCGUUCUAGGAAGCAAGCCGGCUAGACAGGAAAACAUCAGACGCUGCUCCCAAUGCUACACUCAGUUUUUCAGAAAUUAGUCGACUUUAUGGCCAGAAGAGACCAUUAGAGCAUCUGAUCUGACCCCCUGCAUAUCACAGACCUCCUGUAUGACACAAGAGCUACUUUUGGGGCUUACACAUUCCAGAAAGGCAUCUAGUCUUCAUUGAAUGACAUCAGGAGAUGCUGAAUCCACCACUUUCCUUGGUAGCUUGUUCCUGUGGUGAAUCAUCCUCACUGUUGAUUAUUUGGGGCUUAGCUGUAACAUGAAUUUGUCUCUUUUUACCUUCCAAUCAUUGGGUCUUGUUAUGUCUUUCUCUGCUCGAUUAAAGAGCCCUUUAACACCCAAUCUUUUUUCUCCAUUAAGGCACUUCAAUACUUCAAUGAAAUCACCUUUCAAUCUUCUUUUGAGAAGCUAAAAAGGUUGAGCUCUUUCACUAGAAGGCAUUUUUCUCCAGCCCUCAGAACAUUUGGUGGCUCUUUGCUCCUUCAGCUCCAAUUUCACAAGAUCUGUUUCAAAUGAGGACACCAAAACUGGAGGCAGCAUUCCAGUAUCAGUCUCACUGACGCCGUGUCACCUCCUGUUACGUUAUUGACAUAAUCUGUAACUGUAUAGAUCACUGUUGCAGCCACGGUUCUAUAUUUGCAACCAAAAUUGUAGAAAGGUUGUUGUGUAAGGGGUCUAUGGAGAGGUUUUGAUUGGUUGAUUAUAAUGAUGCUAUCUCUAGAUGUGUAUCAUUUUUGUAGUUGACGUCAUGAAUAUUGGCUCUUUGCUGUCCCUAUUUCAAACUUGUGCUCUGCUUCCGGGGAACACCCCAGCCAGACAAGUUGGUGUCAGUUCUGCCUAUCCUGCCUGAUGGCCCAUUAAGGACCUUCAGCUAUACAAUCGACCCAUUGAGAGAAGGCAGAUACGCCUUGUGACUCAGCAAGGUAUGCAGGGACCUGCCUAUGGACAGAACUCUAAGGUUUUUCUAUGCCAAGUGCUGGAUAGAGUGUCCUUGGGACAAAGAAAGCAAAGACCACAUGGCAAGAGACUAUAAAAGGCUGAUGCCUCGUCUCCAUCUUGUCUUCAAUCCUGCUUCAUACCUCUGGAGGGACAUUGCUACAAACUGAAUUUCUAUACAAAGGACUGAAUGACCCAUCUCAGCUGUGGAUGGACUCUAGAGACUUGAUUUGAACCUGCAGUUUAUUCCAUCACUGCUACAAGCCUGAACCAAGAACUUUGCCAUUACUGUAUGUGAAGGGUUAAAAUUCAUGUGCAUUUUGUAUAACAACCUGGUCUAUGGAUUGUGCCAGCUCUUUUCCAGACCAAAGUCCAGAGUAGGGUCAAGGGACGAGAAGCCUAGCAAAUAGUGACCAGCUAAAAGAAAGCUGGGUUAACAGAAAGCCUUGUUUGCUAAGAUAGGCUUGAUCAGCAAAUUGCCAGGUGUUGGAGCUAAGAACUAAAUCAUUGUGUCUUAUUCAGAGUUGCAGAUUGAACAAAGAAUCCCUGUU
Long non-coding RNA from Gopherus flavomarginatus (Mexican gopher tortoise), 3746 nucleotides. RefSeq lists it as uncharacterized. NCBI's taxonomy places the organism in Eukaryota, Metazoa, Chordata, Testudines, Testudinidae. The transcript has 2 exons. The record is from RefSeq and is a predicted model, not a curated record.